CCUACGGGGGGCUGCAGUGGGGAAUAUUGGACAAUGGGCGAAAGCCUGAUCCAGCCAUGCCGCGUGUGUGAAGAAGGCCUUCGGGUUGUAAAGCACUUUCAGUGGGGAAGAAAGCCUUGGGGCUAAUACCCUCGAGGAAGGACAUCACCCACAGAAGAAGCACCGGCUAACUCCGUGCCAGCAGCCGCGGUAAUACGGAGGGUGCGAGCGUUAAUCGGAAUUACUGGGCGUAAAGCGCGCGUAGGCGGUCUGAUAAGCCGGUUGUGAAAGCCCCGGGCUCAACCUGGGAACGGCAUCCGGAACUGUCAGGCUAGAGUACAGGAGAGGAAGGUAGAAUUCCCGGUGUAGCGGUGAAAUGCGUAGAGAUCGGGAGGAAUACCAGUGGCGAAGGCGGCCUACUGGACUGACACUGACGCUGAGGUGCGAAAGCGUGGGUAGCAAACAGGAUUAGAUACCCCUGUAGUC
Molecule: ribosomal RNA, 465 nt
Filed under: Vreelandella stevensii
Lineage: Bacteria; Pseudomonadati; Pseudomonadota; Gammaproteobacteria; Oceanospirillales; Halomonadaceae
Description: partial 16S ribosomal RNA
Rfam family: Bacterial small subunit ribosomal RNA
Source: RNAcentral